Molecule: ribosomal RNA, 460 nt
Filed under: uncultured bacterium
Lineage: Bacteria
Description: partial 16S ribosomal RNA
Rfam family: Bacterial small subunit ribosomal RNA
Source: RNAcentral
CCUACGGGAUGCAGCAGUGAGGAAUAUUGGUCAAUGGACGAGAGUCUGAACCAGCCAAGUAGCGUGAAGGAUGACUGCCCUAUGGGUUGUAAACUUCUUUUAUAUGGGAAUAAAACGUUCCACGUGUGGGAUUUUGUAUGUACCAUAUGAAUAAGGAUCGGCUAACUCCGUGCCAGCAGCCGCGGUAAUACGGAGGAUCCGAGCGUUAUCCGGAUUUAUUGGGUGUAAAGGGAGCGUAGGUGGAUUGUUAAGUCAGUUGUGAAAGUUUGCGGCUCAACCGUAAAAUUGCAGUUGAAACUGGCAGUCUUGAGUACAGUAGAGGUGGGCGGAAUUCGUGGUGUAGCGGUGAAAUGCUUAGAUAUCACGAAGAACUCCGAUUGCGAAGGCAGUUCACUGGACUGCAACUGACACUGAGGCUCGAAAGUGUGGGUAUCAAACAGGAUUAGAUACCCCAGUAGUC